RNAcentral lists this ribosomal RNA (207 nucleotides) under uncultured bacterium. RNAcentral describes it as "partial 16S ribosomal RNA". It matches the Rfam family "Bacterial small subunit ribosomal RNA", at positions 568 to 774 of the family's 1533-position model. The record is from RNAcentral.
CACGUAGGCGGCCUGUUAAGUGUGGAGUGAAAUCCCACGGCUCACCCGUGGAACUGCUUCGCAUACUGGCAAGCUCGAGGACGGUAGGGGAGAGCGGAACUCUUGGUGGAGCGGUGAAAUGCGUAGAUAUCAAGAGGAACACCGAUGGCGAAGGCAGCUCUCUGGUCCGUUUCUGACGCUGAGGUGCGAAAGCUAGGGUAGCGAACG